Molecule: long non-coding RNA, 441 nt
Organism: Helianthus annuus (common sunflower)
Lineage: Eukaryota; Viridiplantae; Streptophyta; Magnoliopsida; Asterales; Asteraceae
Exons: 3
Source: RefSeq, a predicted model, not a curated record
UUCAGCACUACCAACUUACUUAUCUACUAGGGAGGCAAUGGUAACAAAUCUUCUAGACUUCUACUGGUUGGAACGCAUCGAACUAUAAUCGAGUUCCCGUGUGCAGAUAAUAAUACACAACGAAGUGCCACAUACCUACCCGAAGGUGUUUAUUAGAGUGGAUUACUUUAUUUUUUCCAUAAAAAGAUGAUUGGUUAAGAGUUGCAAGUGUAUUUAUUUUCCAGGUUGCAUCGCUAUGCUAUGUCUCAUUUUCACUAUAAACUACCAACAAAAGCCUUAACUGGGAAAUUGCAGUUGUUUUAGUCCAUGGAGUAGCAUGCCUCUUUUAUUUUCACAAACUUGAUUUUGGUGGUUUUUUGAAAGACUUCUCUACUACAAGCAUUUUGUUAUGAUCAAAAUGAUCAUUUUUUCACUAGCAAUAUUCCAUCAGUCUUAUACUAA